AACACACGUUUGGUUAGAGCAGGGUCUUUUUUUGGGGGGGGUCAAACUAGGUUUGAUUAACAGAAACAAACAAUCCAAAAGACACACUUUCCUCCCUUCCUUAAUUUGUCCACCCUCCCUCCCUGCUGUCAAGAUUCUGCAGGCACUAAAAUUUCAGCAGAGAAGUACAAUUUGCUGGAAAGAACAUAAAGAUUGUGUUUUAAAACUGUUUAAAUGGGUGACUGUUUUUAAACCAAGUAACAGAGUAUUCAAGAGGUUAGUGGAAAGAUUUCAGUUUGCAUAGGUCCUUGGUCAGGAUUCUGUCAACUCUUCCUGGCAGAAGAGAUUUCAAAGGAUUUGUUGAGCUAACCCUGAGCUAGCAGCAUGACAUACAGAGAUCUCCCUUCCCAAUUUUUGAGGCAUAUAGAACAUUCCUAGCUAUUUCCAUCCAGUCUUGUUUUCCUGUCUUCAGCCUGUAACUGGACAGGGAAUUAGAAUGCUGGUCCUGACAGCUGUCUGUAUAUGAUUAUAAAUUCUCUCCAUGUUCCCAGAGCUGAACUGAACUAAAAAAAAAAAAAAAAAAAAAAAGAAAAAAAAAAAGAGAGAGAGAGAGAGAGAGAGAGAGAGAGAGAGAGAAUUGUUUUGCUAUUAGAAUCAGCAGGACUAGUAUUUGGCCCACAGAACACCAAGGCCAGCAGAACAGACACUUGCUAGCACUCUGAAAUAUGCUAUUGUCUAUCAUUGUCUAAUUCUUCCUAACUCUGUAAAAGAAGGUCUCAUAAACCCCACAAAGUAGUCAUUUCACUUUCAAGUAUAAAAUAGAUGUUUGUACAUUUAUGUUACCAUCUGCAAGUGAGAGACUAAAUCCCAGUCCAGGUAUAUGAAUGAGAAGAAAAAUUUGUUUCAGAAGUCAAACUAACAUUUUUCAGCUCUUCAAAGUUUUAUGCACAAAUAUUUUAGUUGACAUGUAUCUUGUGACCUAGAAUCUCAUUUCUUAGUAACUUACACCCAUAUAUAAAUAAGUGCAUUUUUUUCACUCCUUAAAAUAAAAAAAACACUUUUAAGAUCUCA
Molecule: long non-coding RNA, 1050 nt
Filed under: Dromaius novaehollandiae (emu)
Lineage: Eukaryota; Metazoa; Chordata; Aves; Casuariiformes; Dromaiidae
Description: lncRNA (ENSDNVG00000017309.1)
Source: RNAcentral